RNAcentral lists this ribosomal RNA (253 nucleotides) under uncultured bacterium. Its description in RNAcentral is "partial 16S ribosomal RNA". It matches the Rfam family "Bacterial small subunit ribosomal RNA", at positions 524 to 776 of the family's 1533-position model. The record is from RNAcentral.
UACGUAGGGUGCGAGCGUUGUCCGGAAUUAUUGGGCGUAAAGGGCUCGUAGGCGGUCUGUCGCGUCGGGAGUGAAAACUCAGGGCUUAACCCUGAGCCUGCUUCCGAUACGGGCAGACUAGAGGUAUGCAGGGGAGAACGGAAUUCCUGGUGUAGCGGUGAAAUGCGCAGAUAUCAGGAGGAACACCGAUGGCGAAGGCAGGUCUCUGGGCAUUAACUGACGCUGAGGAGCGAAAGCAUGGGGAGCGAACAGG